RNAcentral lists this long non-coding RNA (500 nucleotides) under Bos taurus (domestic cattle). RNAcentral describes it as "long non-coding RNA NONBTAT006233". The record is from RNAcentral. Lineage: Eukaryota; Metazoa; Chordata; Mammalia; Artiodactyla; Bovidae.
UUUCUGGUUAAUGAGUAAAAAUAAUGGCUAAAAUGUUAAAAAGUUUAUUUUAAGCAUUUAUAUUUCUAACUUGUUAUUUUAAAAAACACGUAUCAGUUACUUUACCAAAUAAUUCAUUACUUAUUUAAUGUCCUCUCUAUUUAAUGUAACAUUACAGAGUCUUCCAGUCAUUAAACAAAAAUGCCAAUAAAAAGUCACGUUUUUUUCAUUACUUAAUUUGCCACAUUUAAAGACAAGAGACCUUAAAUUAUAAAUUACCAGUAAGAAUAACUUAUAAAGCUCCAUAUAUAUAAUAUAUAUUUGAAUAGUUAACACUAAUUCUUGGGUUUAUCUCAUAAAAAAUGUGACUAUAAAAUAACAAUGAUUAAGGUAUCUCAGAAAUUAGGUAUACAAAUGAGCACUCUUAUUAAUAUUCAUCAACAGAAACAGCAAUUAAUAUAGUUGGAGAAGUCCAUCUUGGAAUUACCUUUCACAAGACUGUCUACCUCAAGCAUACGUGU